CAGUCGCCGCGGUAAUACGUAGGUGGCAAGCGUUGUCCGGAAUUAUUGGGCGUAAAGCGCGCGCAGGCGGAUAGGUCAGUCUGUCUUAAAAGUUCGGGGCUUAACCCCGUGAUGGGAUGGAAACUGCCAAUCUAGAGUAUCGGAGAGGAAAGUGGAAUUCCUAGUGUAGCGGUGAAAUGCGUAGAUAUUAGGAAGAACACCAGUGGCGAAGGCGACUUUCUGGACGAAAACUGACGCUGAGGCGCGAAAGCCAGGGGAGCGAACGGGAUUAGAUACCCGUGUAGUUCCUGUCUCUUAUACC
RNAcentral lists this ribosomal RNA (301 nucleotides) under uncultured bacterium. Its description in RNAcentral is "partial 16S ribosomal RNA". It matches the Rfam family "Bacterial small subunit ribosomal RNA", at positions 509 to 808 of the family's 1533-position model. The record is from RNAcentral.